Molecule: unclassified non-coding RNA, 1184 nt
Filed under: Rhizobium sp.
Lineage: Bacteria; Pseudomonadati; Pseudomonadota; Alphaproteobacteria; Hyphomicrobiales; Rhizobiaceae
Also listed under: 1 other name
Description: partial 16S-23S ribosomal RNA intergenic spacer
Rfam family: tRNA (bases 238-311)
Source: RNAcentral
CUGUGGAAUUGGUAAGACGAUCGUUUCAUGUCUUCGGAUGUGCCCCGAUAUGAACCUUCCCGUGCUUUUUAGAACAAGAUCGGAUCAGUCAGAUCACGAUCGCAACGUAAUACGCCGCGUAGACUUCGGUCACGACGGUAUGGCGAGCUGCGCCGUCCACGUUUCUCUUUCUUCAAGAAGACAAAGAACCGCGUCGAUCCGGAUAGUUUUUACUGUCUGGACCGGUUUGACGAGAAUGGGCCCGUAGCUCAGUUGGUUAGAGCACACGCUUGAUAAGCGUGGGGUCGGAAGUUCAAGUCUUCCCGGGCCCACCAGCCUUCGCCCUUAUGGGCUAUGGCUUGGCGAGCCGGGAAAAGACGGUGACGCGGAAGUUGCCGAACCCUGGUUUAAGAUCGGGGCGAUCGAGCUGAUGGGGCUGUAGCUCAGCUGGGAGAGCACCUGCUUUGCAAGCAGGGGGUCAGCGGUUCGAUCCCGCUCAGCUCCACCAAAUCGAUUGGUGUCGAGACUGACGGCAUGUUGUCUUUUGAAGAAGUAAAGGUUUUGCAUCGGCUUUAGAGCCUGAUGCCUGUUCUGCAUACAUUGUGAAGAGAAGAUUGAUCUGGAGGCUUCCAGGUGUUUUGGGUUUUGGCCCGAAACGUCCGAGCCCAGUUCUGAUGAUCCCUUGGAUGGCCUAGCCGGCCGGAUAUGGGUGAAGGACUGGAGGUAGGAAGGAAGCUUGUCGCUCUGGGUCGUUGUUGUUUGCGGUCCUUCUGGGCUGCAUCUGACGGACGACUUGAUUGACGUUGCCUGACCGCGCGUCACCGGAUUUAAUCUCGAGAAGCUGGUCUUAAGAUAGACUGCAAGCGGGCUGCUCGGCGUAGCUCCAAUAAAGCAGAUCUAUCGAACACGUCGAUGGCAUUGUUAGAAAGCGUGAUUGUAAAAGGUAAUCACGCAUUGUUGGUCUGGUAGCUGAGAGGCUUCCGGACUUUGACUGGUUCGACAUACUGAGAAGUAUCUGGCUGGUCAGAUUUGGAACCCCUUCGAGCGCAAGCGAGGAGGAUAGGAAUUCCAAAUCCAACAAAGACGAUGAGCAUUGGCAAUGAGAACGAUCAAGUGUCGUAAGGGUAUUUAGUGGAUGCCUAGGCAUGCACAGGCGAUGAAGGACGUGAUACGCUGCGAAAAGCCGUGGGGAGCUGCGAAUAAGC